GAGUUUACAACUCCCAAACCCCUGUGAACAUACCUAUACGUUGCCUCGGCGGAUCAGCCCGCGCCCCGUAAAAAGGGACGGCCCGCCCGAGGACCCCUAAACUCUGUUUUUAGUGGAACUUCUGAGUAAAACAAACAAAUAAAUCAAAACUUUCAACAACGGAUCUCUUGGUUCU
This 175-nucleotide unclassified non-coding RNA is filed under the name rhizosphere metagenome. RNAcentral describes it as "partial ribosomal RNA internal transcribed spacer region". The record is from RNAcentral.